AUCUUUUGAUCAAGCUACUAAGGGCAUAUGGUGGAUGCCUUGGCACUAGCAGGCGACGAAAGACGUGACAAGCUGCGAUAAGCUCCGGGGAGUUGCAAAUAAGCUUUGAUCCGGAGAUUUCUGAAUGGGGUAACCCUUCCUGAGUAAUGUCAGGAAAUCUUUGGGCUGAAUACAUAGGUCCAUGGAAGCGAGACGAGGGGAAGUGAAACAUCUCAGUACCCUCAGGAACAGAAAACGAAGUUAUUUCCUCAGUAGCGGCGAGCGAACGGGAAGAAGCCCAAACCGUAAGGUGUGUUAAAGUCUGCAGACGUUGCACCUUCGGGGUAGCGGGGCUUUGGCGCAUCCUGCCUGCAGGCAGGAAGAAAAGUUACCAAAUUAUAGCUUAGCUGAAAAGCGUGGAAAAGCUUGCCAUAGAUGGUGAAAGCCCAGUAAGUCAAAAGCUAUAAUCUUUUCUGCCGGAGUUUCCAAGUAACACGGGACACGUGAAAUCCCGUGCGAAUCUGCCCAGACCACUGGGUAAGGCUAAAUACUAGCUAGUGACCGAUAGUGGACUAGUACCGUGAGGGAAAGGUGAAAAGUACUCCUGACGGAGGGUGAAAUAGUACCUGAAACCAUAUGCUUACAAGCGGUCGGAGCCUGACUUUUUGUCUUCGGACGGAAAGAAGGGUGACGGCGUGCCUAUUGAAUAAUGAUCCGGCGAGUUACUGUGAGUUGCUAGGUUAACCCAAACACUGGGGUAGCCGUAGCGAAAGCGAGUCCGAACAGGGCGACUAAGUAGCUUAUAGUAGACCCGAAGCUUAGUGAUCUAAGCAUGGCCAGGAUGAAGUCCAGGUUAAACUGGAUGGAGGUCCGAACCCACUAAAGUUGAAAAUUUAGGGGAUGAGCUGUGCUUAGGGGUGAAAGGCUAAUCAAACUGAGCGAUAGCUGGUUCUCCCCGAAAUAGCUUUAGGGCUAGCCUCGUUUGUAGACAGAAGGAGGUAGAGCACUGGAUGGGCAAGGGGCCCUAAAAGGCUUCCAACCCCAACCAAACUCCGAAUGCCUUUUGUUUUGAACGGGAGUCAGGUAGUGAGGGAUAAGCUUCAUUGCCAAAAGGAGAAUAACGCCAGACCACCAGCUAAGGUCCCCAAAUAUUGGCUAAGUGAUAAAGGAUGUGGAGUUACUUAGACAACUAGGAUGUUGGCUUAGAAGCAGCCACCAUUUAAAGAGUGCGUAAAUGCUCACUAGUCAAGUGAUUCUGCGCCGACAAUUCUCGGGACUCAAGCCAGUUACCGAAGCUGUGGAUUCAGGGUGUCAUUGACACUCUGAGUGGUAGGGGAGCAUUCUAUUCUAGGUUGAAGCUCCGACGUGAGUCGGGGUCGACGAAAUAGAAGAGAUUAUGCUGGAACGAGUAGCGAUAAAGCCGAUGAGAAAUCGGCUCACCGAAAACCUAAGGUUUCCUGAGCAAGGUUAAUCCGCUCAGGGUUAGUCGGUACCUAAGCCGAGGCCGACAGGCGUAGGCGAUGGAGAUGUUGUUAAUAUUCAACUACCACCUAAAACGCGUCUGAGCUAAAGGGGUGACGCAGAAGCCUAAACCAGCCCGGUGUUGGAAUUCCGGGUCCAACCUGGUAGAGGGUGAGGAUUGGUAAAUCCGUCCUCACAUUACCUCGAGAAGGGAUGGGGAGUCCGCAAGGACACAAACUGGUGGCAAAGCCAGCUGCCAAGAAAAACCUCGAUAGCGAGUUUUUUAGGUGACCGUACCGUAAUCCGACACAGGUAGGUGAGGAGAAGAUCCUAAGGUGCUCGAGCUAACCCUCGUUAAGGAACUAGGCAUAAUGACCCCGUAACUUCGGGAGAAGGGGUGUCCUCAAGUAUGUGCUUUGACUUCGCGUUGAGGCGCAGAAGAGGAUCACAGUAAAGUGGCCUGGGUGACUGUUUACUAAAAACACAUGUCUCUGCUAAGCCUCUCAAGGCGAUGUAUAGGGACUGACACCUGCCCGGUGCCGGAAGGUUAAAGGGUGAGGUCAUCCCCGAGCAAUCGGGGAGAAGCUUCUAACUGAAGCCCCGGUAAACGGCGGCCGUAACUAUAACGGUUCAAAUUCGUUGUAGCUACCGUGAACGCAAGUUCAUUUAACGAAAGGGCCGUUGAAAAAUCUGGCUAUAUGCUGGAACCUCCGAGUAUCUGACACUACCCCGAUAGUAUCGGGGUGAAAAUGUGUUCAGUGCGGACAAUCAGCAGGGAAGUCCCGUUUUGCGGGAUCCCCCAGAGACUAUACGCCAGACUCCCCGCCAAAGGCGGGGAUGAUGAUAUAGUCCGAACUCCGACGCGAGUCGGAGAGUCAGGCAGAAAUGACCUGACCAUCCCCCAAUUAAUCUGGGGAAAGUAACAAUUUGCCUAAGGUAGCGAAAUUCCUUGUCGGGUAAGUUCCGACCUGCACGAAUGGUGUAACAACUUGGGCGCUGUCUCAACGAGGGACUCGGCGAAACUGUAGCAGCGGUGAAGAUGCCGCUUACCCGCAUCGGGACGGAAAGACCCCGUGAACCUUUACUAUACCCUGGCAUUGGAUUUUGGUCAAUCAUGCGUAGCAUAGGUGGGAGACUUUGAACCCCUGGCGCUAGUUGGGGGGGAGUCAACAGUGAAAUACCACCCUUGAUCUAUCGAAAUUCUAACUUAGACCCCUAAUCUGGGCCAAGGACAUUGCCAGGCGGGUAGUUUGACUGGGGCGGUCGCCUCCUAAACGGUAACGGAGGCGUCCAAAGGUUUCCUCAAGCUGUUUGGUAAUCAGCUUUUGAGCGCAAAGGUAUAAGGAAGCUUAACUGUGAGACUUACUAGUCGAGCAGAUGCGAAAGCAGGGCUUAGUGAUCCGGCGGUAGGGCGUGGAACUGCCGUCGCUCAGCGGACAAAAGGUACUCCGGGGAUAACAGGCUGAUCUCCACCGAGAGUUCAUAUCGACGUGGGGGUUUGGCACCUCGAUGUCGGCUCAUCGCAUCCUGGGGCUGGAGAAGGUCCCAAGGGUUUGGCUGUUCGCCAAUUAAAGCGGUACGUGAGCUGGGUUUAGAACGUCGUGAGACAGUUCGGUCCCUAUCUGAUGUGGGCGCAGGAGAUUUGAGAGGAGCUGUCCUUAGUACGAGAGGACCGGGAUGGAGGAACCUCCAGUAUACCAGUUGUCUUGCCAAAGGUAGCGCUGGGUAGCUGUGUUCCGCGUGGAUAAGCACUGAAAGCAUCUAAGUGCGAAACCCACCUCAAGAAUAGAUCUCACUUCCGAGUAAUCGGAACUAAAGGCUUCUGGUAGAUUACCAGUUUGAUAGGUCGCAGAUGUAAGGCCCGUAAAGGCUUCAGUCGAGCGAUACUAAUCAGCCGUGCGGCUUGAUCAUAAUAUAUU
Molecule: ribosomal RNA, 3359 nt
Filed under: candidate division Zixibacteria bacterium RBG_19FT_COMBO_42_43
Lineage: Bacteria; Pseudomonadati; Candidatus Zixiibacteriota
Description: bacterial LSU rRNA
Rfam family: Bacterial large subunit ribosomal RNA
Source: RNAcentral